This 408-nucleotide ribosomal RNA is filed under the name Triticum aestivum (bread wheat). RNAcentral's name for it is "partial small subunit ribosomal RNA". The record is from RNAcentral. Lineage: Eukaryota; Viridiplantae; Streptophyta; Magnoliopsida; Poales; Poaceae.
AUGGUCGAGACCGCCUGCCGCGACAAUGGCGAGAGCGUCGAGUCCAUCAAGGGCAUGUUCAGCGCGCUCUCCGUUGUCGGUGGAGACAACUAUGAUUUCGCUUCUACGGCAUGGCCAUGGGGGCACGCGGCCCUCCGCGCGGCCGUCGACCAGCAUGGGGGCUGCCCCGGCAACAAGACGGUCGCGGAGUUUGCUGGCGAGCACUGCAUCAAGGACCUCGACGCGGCAUGCAAGGAUCCGACCUGCACCGACGGUGCUCACAUCGAAUGCUACAGUACAGCCUCGAAAUUUUGCUACAUCAAGGCCACCACCGCCGACCAGAACGCCAUAUAUGCAAACAUGGAUUGCUUCGUGAGCUGUUGCGAAAAGAAGACGACGAGUGAAGAGUGCAGUAAAAGAGCUUCUUAG